Molecule: ribosomal RNA, 206 nt
Filed under: uncultured bacterium
Lineage: Bacteria
Description: partial 16S ribosomal RNA
Rfam family: Bacterial small subunit ribosomal RNA
Source: RNAcentral
UGCGUAGGUGGUUUCUUAAGUCAGGAGUGAAAGGCUACGGCUCAACCGUAGUAAGCUCUUGAAACUGGGAAACUUGAGUGCAGGAGAGGAAAGUGGAAUUCCUAGUGUAGCGGUGAAAUGCGUAGAUAUUAGGAGGAACACCAGUGGCGAAGGCGGCUUACUGGACUGUAACUGACGUUGAGGCUCGAAAGCGUGGGGAGCAAACA